GCCCUCGGUGGCUCAGAUGGAUAGAGCGUCUGCCAUGUAAGCAGAAGAUUCCGGGUUCGAGUCCCGGUUGGGGCA
This 75-nucleotide transfer RNA is filed under the name Schistocerca americana (American grasshopper). RNAcentral describes it as "tRNA-Thr". It matches the Rfam family "tRNA". From Rfam's summary of the family: Transfer RNA (tRNA) molecules are approximately 80 nucleotides in length. Their secondary structure includes four short double-helical elements and three loops (D, anti-codon, and T loops). RNAcentral also lists the same sequence under 1 other name. The record is from RNAcentral. Lineage: Eukaryota; Metazoa; Arthropoda; Insecta; Orthoptera; Acrididae.